RNAcentral lists this transfer RNA (91 nucleotides) under Nanobdellati archaeon. Its description in RNAcentral is "DPANN group archaeon (marine metagenome) tRNA-Phe". It matches the Rfam family "tRNA". Rfam says of the family: Transfer RNA (tRNA) molecules are approximately 80 nucleotides in length. Their secondary structure includes four short double-helical elements and three loops (D, anti-codon, and T loops). Lineage: Archaea; Nanobdellati. The record is from RNAcentral.
GGCAGGGUGGCUGAGUCAGGCUUAAAGCGUCUGAUUGAAGGUCAGAUUGACACACCCACGUGUCACGCGGGUUCGAAUCCCGUCCCUGCCG